This 72-nucleotide transfer RNA is filed under the name Pangasius djambal. RNAcentral's name for it is "tRNA-Lys". It matches the Rfam family "tRNA". From Rfam's summary of the family: Transfer RNA (tRNA) molecules are approximately 80 nucleotides in length. Their secondary structure includes four short double-helical elements and three loops (D, anti-codon, and T loops). Further hydrogen bonds mediate the characteristic L-shaped molecular structure. tRNAs have two regions of fundamental functional importance: the anti-codon, which is responsible for specific mRNA codon recognition, and the 3' end, to which the tRNAs corresponding amino acid is attached (by aminoacyl-tRNA synthetases). tRNAs cope with the degeneracy of the genetic code in two manners: having more than one tRNA (with a specific anti-codon) for a particular amino acid; and 'wobble' base-pairing, i.e. permitting non-standard base-pairing at the 3rd anti-codon position. The record is from RNAcentral. Lineage: Eukaryota; Metazoa; Chordata; Actinopteri; Siluriformes; Pangasiidae.
UCCCUGGAGGACUAGUGGUUAGGCCACAGUGCUCUUACCCCUGCGACCCUCGUUUGAUUCCUGGCCAGGGAA